Molecule: small nucleolar RNA, 88 nt
Organism: Prolemur simus (greater bamboo lemur)
Lineage: Eukaryota; Metazoa; Chordata; Mammalia; Primates; Lemuridae
Source: Ensembl
GGACCCUUGUGAUUUCCAGCACUGGGCUCUGACUACCUAUGAGGACACUGCCCCCUAGAUCUUUGCCACCCAUGGGUCUGAGGGGCCC